This 631-nucleotide ribosomal RNA is filed under the name uncultured archaeon. RNAcentral's name for it is "bacterial SSU rRNA". It matches the Rfam family "Archaeal small subunit ribosomal RNA", at positions 1 to 641 of the family's 1478-position model. The record is from RNAcentral.
UUCCGGUUGAUCCUGCCGGACCCGACUGCUAUCAGAGUGGGACUAAGCCAUGCGAGCCAACAUAGCAAUAUGUGGCAUACGGCUCAGUAACACGUAGUCAACAUGCCCAGGGGACGUGGAUAACCUCGGGAAACUGAGGAUAAACCGCGAUAGGUCAUGAUUUCUGGAAUGAUUCAUGGCCCAAAUCUAUAUGGCCCCUGGAUUGGACUGCGGCCGAUCAGGCUGUUGGUGAGGUAAUGGCCCACCAAACCUGUUACCGGUACGGGCUCUGAGAGGAGGAGCCCGGAGAUGGGCACUGAGACAAGGGCCCAGGCCCUAUGGGGCGCAGCAGGCGCGAAACCUCUGCAAUAGGCGAAAGCCUGACAGGGUUACUCUGAGUGGUUUCCGCUAAGGAAAUCUUUUGGCACCUCUACAAAUGGUGCAGAAUAAGGGGUGGGCAAGUCUGGUGUCAGCCGCCGCGGUAAUGCCAGCACCCCGAGUGGUCGGGACGUUUAUUGGGCCUAAAGCAUCCGUAGCCGGUUCUACAAGUCUUCCGUUAAAUCCACCUGCUUAACAGAUGGGCUGCGGAAGAUACUAUAGAGCUAGGAGGCGGGAGAAGCAAGCGGUACUCGAUGGGUAGGGGUAAAAUCCG